Molecule: ribosomal RNA, 495 nt
Filed under: uncultured bacterium
Lineage: Bacteria
Description: partial 16S ribosomal RNA
Rfam family: Bacterial small subunit ribosomal RNA
Source: RNAcentral
GAUGAACGCUGGCGGCGUGCCUAAUACAUGCAAGUAGAACGCUGAAGGAGGAGCUUGCUCUUCUGGAUGAGUUGCGAACGGGUGAGUAACGCGUAGGUAACCUGCCUGGUAGCGGGGGAUAACUAUUGGAAACGAUAGCUAAUACCGCAUGACAACAGUUAUUGCAUGAUAACUGUUUAAAAGGGGCAACUGCUCCACUACCAGAUGGACCUGCGUUGUAUUAGCUAGUUGGUGAGGUAAAGGCUCACUAAGGAGACGAAACAUAGCCGACCUGGGAGGGGGAGCGGCCCACAUGGGAAUGGGACACGGCCCAGACUCCUAAGGGAGGGAGCAGGAGGGAAUCUUCGGGAAUGGACGGAAGUCUGACCGGGCAACGCCGCGUGAGGGAAGAAGGUUUUCGGAUCGUAAAGCUCUGUUGUAAGAGAAGAACGAGUGUGAGAGUGGAAAGUUCACACUGUGACGGUACCUUACCAGAAAGGGACGGCUAACUACGUG